CAUGCAGGCGGCUCAUUACGCAUGGCGUGAAAGCCCCCGGCUCAACCGGGGAGGGUCGUCGUGUACGGGUGAGCUUGAGGGUAUCAGGGGCUGGUGGAAUUCCCGGUGUAGUGGUGAAAUGCGUAGAGAUCGGGAGGAACACCUGUGGCGAAGGCGGCCAGCUGGGAUACACCUGACGCUGAGAUGCGAAGGCGUGGGGAGCGAACG
This 207-nucleotide ribosomal RNA is filed under the name uncultured bacterium. Its description in RNAcentral is "partial 16S ribosomal RNA". It matches the Rfam family "Bacterial small subunit ribosomal RNA", at positions 568 to 774 of the family's 1533-position model. The record is from RNAcentral.